CAUGUUUGACACCCUCGGGAUGCCUGGACAACCAUCUUCAUAAGAUGGUUCGAAAGAAUUCCUAUGCCCUGGUGGCCCGUACUUCCGGUAAACCAUCAGGAAGACCCUCAGGGGUGCAGCUUUGGAAAACCCUCAGGGGUUGGAGUUUUUAUUCGAAAAUAUUUUUUAUUUGUUCGUCCCCAAGUGCGGUGGAGGGCGACGACCCACCUACUUGGAUGCCUGGGAUCUAAGUGGAUGAUGUCCCUACUGUCCCAGAGGUUUAUGUUCCCCAAGUGUGGUGGAGGGCGACGACCCACCUACUUGGAUGCCUAGGAUCUAAGUGGAUGAUGUCCCUACUGUCCUAGAUGCCUGGGAUUUAAGUAGAUGAUUUCCCUACUGUCCCGGAGGUUGAUCGUCCCCAAGUGCGGUGGAGGGCGACGACCCACCUACUUGGAUGCCUAGGAUUUAAGUGGAUGAUGUCCCUACUGUCCUAGAUGCCUGGGAUUUAAGUAGAUGAUUUCCCUACUGUCCCGGAGGUUGAUCGUCCCCAAGUGCGGUGGAGGGCGACGACCCACCUACUUGGAUGCCUAGGAUUUAAGUGGAUGAUGUCCCUACUGUCCUAGAUGCCUGGGAUUUAAGUAGAUGAUUUCCCUACUGUCCCGGAGGUUGUUCGUCCCCAAGUGCGGUGGAGGGCGACGACCCACCUACUUGGAUGCCUAGGAUUUAAGUGGAUGAUGUCCCUACUGUCCUAGAUGCCUGGGAUUUAAGUAGAUGAUUUCCCUACUGUCCCGGAGGUUGUUCGUCCCCAAGUGCGGUGGAGGGCGACGACCCACCUACUUGGAUGCCUAGGAUUUAAGUGGAUGAUGUCCCUACUGUCCUAGAUGCCUGGGAUUUAAGUAGAUGAUUUCCCUACUGUCCCGGAGGUUGUUCGUCCCCAAGUGCGGUGGAGGGCGACGACCCACCUACUUGGAUGCCUAGGAUUUAAGUGGAUGAUGUCCCUACUGUCCUAGAUGCCUGGGAUUUAAGUAGAUGAUUUCCCUACUGUCCCGGAGGUUGUUCGUCCCCAAGUGCGGUGGAGGGCGACGACCCACCUACUUGGAUGCCUAGGAUCUAAGUGGAUGAUGUCCCUACUGUCCUAGAUGCCUGGGAUUUAAGUAGAUGAUUUCCCUACUGUCCCGGAGGUUGUUCGUCCCCAAGUGCGGUGGAGGGCGACGACCCACCUACUUGGAUGCCUAGGAUCUAAGUGGAUGAUGUCCCUACUGUCCUAGAUGCCUGGGAUUUAAGUAGAUGAUUUCCCUACUGUCCCGGAGGUUGUUCGUCCCCAAGUGCGGUGGAGGGCGACGACCCACCUACUUGGAUGCCUGGGAUCUAAGUGGAUGAUGUCCCUACUGUCCCAGAGGUUUAUGUUCCCCAAGUGUGGUGGAGGGCGACGACCCACCUACUUGGAUGCCUGGAAUCUAAGUGGAUGAUUUCCCUACUGUUCCAGAGGUUGUU
Molecule: long non-coding RNA, 1473 nt
Filed under: Daucus carota (carrot)
Lineage: Eukaryota; Viridiplantae; Streptophyta; Magnoliopsida; Apiales; Apiaceae
Description: long non-coding RNA (DCAR_LNC005971)
Source: RNAcentral